GGUUAAGCGACUAAGCGUACACGGUGGAUGCCCUGGCAGUCAGAGGCGAUGAAGGACGUGCUAAUCUGCGAUAAGCGUCGGUAAGGUGAUAUGAACCGUUAUAACCGGCGAUUUCCGAAUGGGGAAACCCAGUGUGUUUCGACACACUAUCAUUAACUGAAUCCAUAGGUUAAUGAGGCGAACCGGGGGAACUGAAACAUCUAAGUACCCCGAGGAAAAGAAAUCAACCGAGAUUCCCCCAGUAGCGGCGAGCGAACGGGGAGCAGCCCAGAGCCUGAAUCAGUGUGUGUGUUAGUGGAAGCGUCUGGAAAGGCGCGCGAUACAGGGUGACAGCCCCGUACACAAAAAUGCACAUACUGUGAGCUCGAUGAGUAGGGCGGGACACGUGGUAUCCUGUCUGAAUAUGGGGGGACCAUCCUCCAAGGCUAAAUACUCCUGACUGACCGAUAGUGAACCAGUACCGUGAGGGAAAGGCGAAAAGAACCCCGGCGAGGGGAGUGAAAAAGAACCUGAAACCGUGUACGUACAAGCAGUGGGAGCCUCUUUAUGGGGUGACUGCGUACCUUUUGUAUAAUGGGUCAGCGACUUAUAUUCUGUAGCAAGGUUAACCGAAUAGGGGAGCCGAAGGGAAACCGAGUCUUAACUGGGCGUUAAGUUGCAGGGUAUAGACCCGAAACCCGGUGAUCUAGCCAUGGGCAGGUUGAAGGUUGGGUAACACUAACUGGAGGACCGAACCGACUAAUGUUGAAAAAUUAGCGGAUGACUUGUGGCUGGGGGUGAAAGGCCAAUCAAACCGGGAGAUAGCUGGUUCUCCCCGAAAGCUAUUUAGGUAGCGCCUCGUGAAUUCAUCUCCGGGGGUAGAGCACUGUUUCGGCAAGGGGGUCAUCCCGACUUACCAACCCGAUGCAAACUGCGAAUACCGGAGAAUGUUAUCACGGGAGACACACGGCGGGUGCUAACGUCCGUCGUGAAGAGGGAAACAACCCAGACCGCCAGCUAAGGUCCCAAAGUCAUGGUUAAGUGGGAAACGAUGUGGGAAGGCCCAGACAGCCAGGAUGUUGGCUUAGAAGCAGCCAUCAUUUAAAGAAAGCGUAAUAGCUCACUGGUCGAGUCGGCCUGCGCGGAAGAUGUAACGGGGCUAAACCAUGCACCGAAGCUGCGGCAGCGACACUAUGUGUUGUUGGGUAGGGGAGCGUUCUGUAAGCCUGUGAAGGUGUGCUGUGAGGUAUGCUGGAGGUAUCAGAAGUGCGAAUGCUGACAUAAGUAACGAUAAAGCGGGUGAAAAGCCCGCUCGCCGGAAGACCAAGGGUUCCUGUCCAACGUUAAUCGGGGCAGGGUGAGUCGACCCCUAAGGCGAGGCCGAAAGGCGUAGUCGAUGGGAAACAGGUUAAUAUUCCUGUACUUGGUGUUACUGCGAAGGGGGGACGGAGAAGGCUAUGUUGGCCGGGCGACGGUUGUCCCGGUUUAAGCGUGUAGGCUGGUUUUCCAGGCAAAUCCGGAAAAUCAAGGCUGAGGCGUGAUGACGAGGCACUACGGUGCUGAAGCAACAAAUGCCCUGCUUCCAGGAAAAGCCUCUAAGCAUCAGGUAACAUCAAAUCGUACCCCAAACCGACACAGGUGGUCAGGUAGAGAAUACCAAGGCGCUUGAGAGAACUCGGGUGAAGGAACUAGGCAAAAUGGUGCCGUAACUUCGGGAGAAGGCACGCUGAUAUGUAGGUGAAGUCCCUUGCGGAUGGAGCUGAAAUCAGUCGAAGAUACCAGCUGGCUGCAACUGUUUAUUAAAAACACAGCACUGUGCAAACACGAAAGUGGACGUAUACGGUGUGACGCCUGCCCGGUGCCGGAAGGUUAAUUGAUGGGGUUAGCGGUAACGCGAAGCUCUUGAUCGAAGCCCCGGUAAACGGCGGCCGUAACUAUAACGGUCCUAAGGUAGCGAAAUUCCUUGUCGGGUAAGUUCCGACCUGCACGAAUGGCGUAAUGAUGGCCAGGCUGUCUCCACCCGAGACUCAGUGAAAUUGAACUCGCUGUGAAGAUGCAGUGUACCCGCGGCAAGACGGAAAGACCCCGUGAACCUUUACUAUAGCUUGACACUGAACAUUGAGCCUUGAUGUGUAGGAUAGGUGGGAGGCUUUGAAGUGUGGACGCCAGUCUGCAUGGAGCCGACCUUGAAAUACCACCCUUUAAUGUUUGAUGUUCUAACGUUGACCCGUAAUCCGGGUUGCGGACAGUGUCUGGUGGGUAGUUUGACUGGGGCGGUCUCCUCCUAAAGAGUAACGGAGGAGCACGAAGGUUGGCUAAUCCUGGUCGGACAUCAGGAGGUUAGUGCAAUGGCAUAAGCCAGCUUGACUGCGAGCGUGACGGCGCGAGCAGGUGCGAAAGCAGGUCAUAGUGAUCCGGUGGUUCUGAAUGGAAGGGCCAUCGCUCAACGGAUAAAAGGUACUCCGGGGAUAACAGGCUGAUACCGCCCAAGAGUUCAUAUCGACGGCGGUGUUUGGCACCUCGAUGUCGGCUCAUCACAUCCUGGGGCUGAAGUAGGUCCCAAGGGUAUGGCUGUUCGCCAUUUAAAGUGGUACGCGAGCUGGGUUUAGAACGUCGUGAGACAGUUCGGUCCCUAUCUGCCGUGGGCGCUGGAGAACUGAGGGGGGCUGCUCCUAGUACGAGAGGACCGGAGUGGACGCAUCACUGGUGUUCGGGUUGUCAUGCCAAUGGCACUGCCCGGUAGCUAAAUGCGGAAGAGAUAAGUGCUGAAAGCAUCUAAGCACGAAACUUGCCCCGAGAUGAGUUCUCCCUGACUCCUUGAGAGUCCUGAAGGAACGUUGAAGACGACGACGUUGAUAGGCCGGGUGUGUAAGCGCAGCGAUGCGUUGAGCUAACCGGUACUAAUGAACCGUGAGGCUUAACCUU
RNAcentral lists this ribosomal RNA (2904 nucleotides) under Escherichia coli. RNAcentral describes it as "23S ribosomal RNA". It matches the Rfam family "Bacterial large subunit ribosomal RNA". RNAcentral also lists the same sequence under 1 other name. The record is from RNAcentral. Lineage: Bacteria; Pseudomonadati; Pseudomonadota; Gammaproteobacteria; Enterobacterales; Enterobacteriaceae.